GCAAGUCGAGCGGACAGAUGGGAGCUUGCUCCCUGAUGUUAGCGGCGGACGGGUGAGUAACACGUGGGUAACCUGCCUGUAAGACUGGGAUAACUCCGGGAAACCGGGGCUAAUACCGGAUGCUUGAUUGAACCGCAUGGUUCAAUUAUAAAAGGUGGCUUUCAGCUACCACUUACAGAUGGACCCGCGGCGCAUUAGCUAGUUGGUGAGGUAACGGCUCACCAAGGCGACGAUGCGUAGCCGACCUGAGAGGGUGAUC
Molecule: ribosomal RNA, 259 nt
Filed under: uncultured bacterium
Lineage: Bacteria
Description: partial 16S ribosomal RNA
Rfam family: Bacterial small subunit ribosomal RNA
Source: RNAcentral